Molecule: transfer RNA, 64 nt
Filed under: Rhopaea magnicornis (brown cockchafer)
Lineage: Eukaryota; Metazoa; Arthropoda; Insecta; Coleoptera; Scarabaeidae
Description: tRNA-Pro
Source: RNAcentral
CAGAGAAUAGUUUAAGUUAAAAUAAUAAUUUUGGAGGUUAUUGAUAGGUCAACCCUUUCUCUGA